AUCUAGCUGACGAGUUGCAAAUUGAACGAAACAUGCGUCCUGGAU
RNAcentral lists this non-coding RNA (45 nucleotides) under Schistosoma mattheei. Lineage: Eukaryota; Metazoa; Platyhelminthes; Trematoda; Strigeidida; Schistosomatidae. The record is from RNAcentral.